RNAcentral lists this ribosomal RNA (463 nucleotides) under uncultured bacterium. Its description in RNAcentral is "bacterial SSU rRNA". It matches the Rfam family "Bacterial small subunit ribosomal RNA", at positions 28 to 524 of the family's 1533-position model. The record is from RNAcentral.
GAUGAACGCUGGCGGCGUGCCUAACACAUGCAAGUCGAACGCUCGCAAGAGAGUGGCGCACGGGUGAGUAACACGUAGCUAAUCUGCCCUCAAGACAAGGAUAACUGUAGGAAACUACUGCUAAUACUUGAUAAGCUUACGGACUGUAGAGGUCUAUAAGAAAGAUUUAUCGCUUGAGGAUGAGGCUGCGCGCCAUCAGCUAGUUGGUAAGGUAAUGGCUUACCAAGGCGACGACGGCUAGGGGACCUGAGAGGGUGACCCUCCACACUGGGACUGAGACACGGCCCAGACUCCUACGGGAGGCAGCAGUGAGGAAUAUUGCUCAAUGGGCGCAAGCCUGAAGCAGCGACGCCGCGUGGAUGAAGAAGGUCUUCGGACUGUAAAAAUCCUUUUCUGUGUGACGAGAGUGGACGGUAGCACAGGAAUAAGUCUCGGCUAACUACGUGCCAGCAGCCGCGGUAAU